CAGCAGACAAAUCUUUUUCCGUUUAUCUGCCCGGUGUUGUGAUCAUCUUUAUAACUGGAGUUAUCGUGGGAUUUAUCUACUGGAGGAAAAGUAAUGGGUCAGGAACAUCUGGAGUGUCUGUACCUGAAAAUCCCAACGGUUUGGAUGACGAUGAGCCAGAUCAGCCCUAUACAAACCUUCAGCAGCCAUCGAGUGAUUCCUACCAGACUAUCAUCUCAGUGAACCAUCAAC
Molecule: non-coding RNA, 231 nt
Organism: Maylandia zebra (zebra mbuna)
Lineage: Eukaryota; Metazoa; Chordata; Actinopteri; Cichliformes; Cichlidae
Source: RefSeq, a predicted model, not a curated record